GGGGCAAUCCAGUGGUGGCAGCAGUGGGGAAUAUUGCACAAUGGGCGGAAGCCUGAUGCAGCGACGCCGCGUGGGGGAUGACGGCCUUCGGGUUGUAAACUCCUUUCACCAUCGACGAAGGUUUUCUGACGGUAGAUGGAGAAGAAGCACCGGCUAACUACGUGCCAGCAGCCGCGGUAAUACGUAGGGUGCGAGCGUUGUCCGGAAUUACUGGGCGUAAAGAGCUCGUAGGUGGUUUGUCGCGUCGUCUGUGAAAUUCCGGGGCUUAACUCCGGGCGUGCAGGCGAUACGGGCAUAACUUGAGUACUGUAGGGGAGACUGGAAUUCCUGGUGUAGCGGUGAAAUGCGCAGAUAUCAGGAGGAACACCGGUGGCGAAGGCGGGUCUCUGGGCAGUAACUGACGCUGAGGAGCGAAAGCAUGGGUAGCGAACAGGAUUAGAUACCCUGGUAGUCCAUGCCGUAAACGGUGGGCGCUAGGUGUAGGGGUCUUCCACGACUUCUGUGCCGUAGCUAACGCAUUAAGCGCCCCGCCUGGGGAGUACGGCCGCAAGGCUAAAACUCAAAGGAAUUGACGGGGGCCCGCACAAGCGGCGGAGCAUGUGGAUUAAUUCGAUGCAACGCGAAGAACCUUACCUGGGCUUGACAUGUACGGGACCGCCGCAGAGAUGUGGCUUCCCUUGUGGCUCGUAUACAGGUGGUGCAUGGUUGUCGUCAGCUCGUGUCGUGAGAUGUUGGGUUAAGUCCCGCAACGAGCGCAACCCUUGUCUUAUGUUGCCAGCACGUAAUGGUGGGGACUCGUGAGAAACUGCCGGGGUCAACUCGGAGGGAAGGUGGGGAUGACGUCAAAUCAUCAUGCCCCUUAUGUCCAGGGCUUCACACCAUGCUACAAUGGUCGGUACAGUGGGUUGCGAUACCGUGAGGUGGAGCUAAUCCCUUAAAGCCGGUCUCAGUUCGGAUCGGGGUCUGCAACUCGACCCCGUGAAGUCGGAGUCGCUAGUAAUCGCAGAUCAGCAACGCUGCGGUGAAUACGUUUCCGGCCUGUACACACGGCCGUCACGUCAUGAAGUCCGUACGACCGAGCAGUGGGCUAACUUUAGGGGGGACCUGUCCAAAGGUGAAUCGGCGAUUGGGACGAAUGUCGAAACAGGUAUACGUCACAUCA
This 1162-nucleotide ribosomal RNA is filed under the name Corynebacterium freneyi. Its description in RNAcentral is "bacterial SSU rRNA". It matches the Rfam family "Bacterial small subunit ribosomal RNA", at positions 328 to 1510 of the family's 1533-position model. Lineage: Bacteria; Bacillati; Actinomycetota; Actinomycetes; Mycobacteriales; Corynebacteriaceae. The record is from RNAcentral.